Molecule: long non-coding RNA, 2971 nt
Organism: Papaver somniferum (opium poppy)
Lineage: Eukaryota; Viridiplantae; Streptophyta; Magnoliopsida; Ranunculales; Papaveraceae
Exons: 11
Source: RefSeq, a predicted model, not a curated record
UUAGCCGCAGCCGAAACAUUCACCUCCCUGAAACCUCUCACCAUGAAUCAGAACUCAACCAUUAAAUUUAUCUAAAUACCUAAUAGAAACUCGAUUAACUUUCUACAUAUGUGAAUUAACCUUCUACGUCUGUGAAUUUAGUGCUUAUAUGGUUUGAUUUUCUAAACAAAAUCGGUGUGAUCUCUCAGUUAGGGUUUGAGUUUGUUCAUCAGGUACAGUCCGAUCUCUCAGUUAGGGUUUGAGUUAGUUCAUCAGUUCUUUUAUUGAUUUCAGUUUGAUCUUCAACAGCUUAAGUUGCAGGAAGAUCUUCAUAGGCGAAGAUAAGAGAGUUGAACAAAACUGAGCAGUAUAGAGAGGAAACCAAUUUGGACAAAGAUGCAGUCGCCGCGGUGCUUGGAACUGAUAAUAGGUGCUUUGUUCGAGGAAUGGGAGGUGGGAUUUCAAAAACUGAACUGCUUGCUUCUGCAGUUCCUAGGGAGCAGUUACGUCAACAGGUGCUGAAGACUAUAGUUGUGGAGGAUCGUGUCCGUACUUUUGAGGUCACCGUUGAGACAUUGAUGGCUGGUUUAAACUGCAAUCCUAGCACAAGCAAUGCUAAUGCUCAGUUAACAUUUAUAACUAGUUAUGGAUCAAUUGCAUGAUUUGUUUAUCUUAUUAUGUGCACAAGUAUUUCUCAACUUCGUUAUCAUUCCAGGUAAAAUUUUCAUGACUUGUGUUUAUGGAUGGUGUGAGUGAAAAGCAAAUAAUCUUGGAUGUUAGAAUAGUUGUAUUACAAUUUUAUUCAAAUAAUCUUCAUAUAUAUUUAGAUUUAGACUUACUAUGUGGAAAUCAACUGUUUAGGUAAGAUGAGAAAUCAGAAAUCGUUGAAUAUGAAUUUUGAUUACGUUGCUUGAUUCACUACCGAUUCAUUGUUUCCAAAUCAAGAGUCAUCUUCUGGCACAAGAAUCAUAGAUACAAGAUGUGUAAAGAGACAUGUAGACAUGAAAUGCUUGCUGUUGUGACUUGACUUUUCUGGGAUUGUUGUGGACUACAAAUGACUACAAAUUAGUGUUUUUUUCUUCUUGUUUUAAGUAAAGUAAAGCUCUUAAUUCCAUUUCUGAUCUAAAUUGUUCUUAAUUUUAAGGUUAUUGAGUUUUUAACCUUCGAUUCUGCAUGACCUUUCUUAGGAGCAGCUGAACAAUUUAUUAUGUUUGCAUCGCUUUUCUUAUGUGCACCAGUAUUUCUUACUGCUAUAUAUUGGAUGUGAUCUCCAGGGAAUGAAUGGUGGUUGUCAAGUACUAUUCAUUUUGGACCUUCUUAUGUGCAGCAGUGGGAACAUUCUUUAACAUCUAUAUUGGCGGGUGCACUAUCCCUUUUCUUGACCAGCUUUUGACAACUUUGUGUAAUUUCAUUUCAGGCCAAUUUUGUUUGGUCUUAUCGGUGCAACGGGUAUUUGUACCCAGUUCCUAGUUUUCCUGAACUAAUAUGUAUUUGUACCGUGUCUUGUGUGCUUAUAGCAAGUAGUCAUGCCUAAUCCAGUUUACAAAAUCUGGUUGCAAAUUGUCAUAAAAUUCAUAAAACAGGACAUUCUUCCCUAGCUUUUUCUUAUGUGGAAUGAGCAAUACCAAUGUGUAGAUUCAUUAAGCAAGAGCAUUGGGAUGAACUUUUAAAAUCAAGAUUAGAUUGAAUGAAAGUCAAGUACACUUUGUCUGAAUUAAAUGUUGCUUCUGAUUUUUUGGUUCAUGCUACUCUAGUGUAGAUCAUGCUACUUUAAUUCAGUUUCUUCUAAAUUGUUGGUUCUGAGUUGAUAUCUCUUCAGUUUCUCCUAAGUUGAUAUCUCUUCAGAUCAUUUCAUCGCACUAUGCAUUGGUUUUUAAGUUCAAAGACAUGAAUAUAGUGUUUAUUACUUUAUUGCAUCUAAUGAACUUAAACUAGCAGUUAACUACCACUAAAACUGAAAGUGUCUUAUCUUUUGACAAUUAAAAUUGAGUUCGAAUCAUAAGAGAAAAUUGUCAAUUCUUAGUAGAUUUUUGUCACUAUGUUUGAUUUCUGGUUGAGUUUAUUGUGAUUAAUUGUUAAAAUUGAGUUUAUCGUUUCCUGAUUUGUUAGUACUUAUGACUUGUCACUUUGUUUGUUUUUUGACAGGAAGUACGAGACAUAUGUUUGUAAUUUGAACCAAACUCGUACGGGAAGGAUAAAACCUACAAAAUACAUUGAAUGGCUACAGAAACAACUUGAAGGCACUCCCAUGCACCUAUGCCAACAAUGUAUUUUUGUAUUCUAUUAUAAUCCUCGGCUCUUUCGUCAAAUGCGGUUAAGAAGGGAGGGCUCUCUGCAGGUGAUGUUGCAGCGCAAUACAAGUACAAGAAUGCAGUCAUGGAUGUCAAAGUUGACACAGAAUCAAAUAUUUUGACAACCCUGACAUUCUUGGAGAAUUGCUUCAUUUAAGCUGCCCAACUACAACUCUGGAAAGCUAGAGGCGCAAUACUUCCAUGAUCAUGCAACCGUCACAGCAGUUGUUGGCCUGAACCAGUCUCCUGUAGUGCGAUCAAGUGAAUGCUUCUGAUCCAAUUAUCAACACUUGCAGUGACUUUUACAAAUUCUGGCAGGCAACCCAUGAUUUGCACGAUGCCAUAAAUCUUAAGCAGCAUUGGUAGCAACUGAUCCUAAGGAAGUUAAGCUUGGUGAUAACUUAGAGGAAGUCGCAUGUGAACCAAGGACACAACACAUUGAUGCUCUGUUUGAUAUCAUUUGUGAAGUAUUAUCAUAGGAGGAGCUGAAAUAUCAUUUUUUUUAUCAGUUGUCUAUUAGUUUAGCAUAUUGUUGUCAGAACUUAGUAAUCUUGGACAUGUAUUCUCUGAACUCAGUAUUUCAUUUUUUUUGUGUAGUUUUACACCCAAUGGAAUGAAUGUUAAAAUUCUCAGUUAAAUUUGAAGUUGCACUUGAAUUUUAGUUAUGAGUUAUAUUUGAAUUUCAGUUAAAUUUGAGGUUG